Molecule: ribosomal RNA, 458 nt
Filed under: uncultured bacterium
Lineage: Bacteria
Description: partial 16S ribosomal RNA
Rfam family: Bacterial small subunit ribosomal RNA
Source: RNAcentral
CCUACGGGAGGCAGCAGUGAGGAAUAUUGGUCAAUGGGCGAGAGCCUGAACCAGCCAAGUCGCGUGAGGGAGUACUGCCCUAUGGGUUGUAAACCUCUUUUGUCGGGGAGCAAAAGCCGGACGUGUCCGGCUGUGAGAGUACCCGAAGAAAAAGCAUCGGCUAACUCCGUGGCAGCAGCCGCGGUAAUACGGAGGAUGCGAGCGUUAUCCGGAUUUAUUGGGGUUAAAGGGUGCGCAGGCGGAUUUUUAAGUCAGCGGUCAAAUCGUGGGGCUCAACCCCAUCCAGCCGUUGAAACUGGGGAUCUAGAGUGUGCGAGAGGUAUGCGGAAUGCGUGGUGUAGCGGUGAAAUGCAUAGAUAUCACGCAGAACCCCGAUUGCGAAGGCAGCAUACCGGUGCACAACUGACGCUCAGGCACGAAAGCGUGGGUAUCGAACAGGAUUAGAUACCCUGGUAGUC